ACGAGUGAUCCUGCCUUACAACCCAAAGGCCCAUCUGAAGAGCAGCGUCCUGAGCCGAGUGGAUUCUCUGGCCUGAGCACAGGCGGGCGGGCUGCCGCUCACACACGCCCCUGAGUGGUGAGACGGUGGCACUGGGGCCAUGCCUUGGCCUCUCUGAGCUCCUGAUGGCCUCCCCAGGCCCCACUGCGGGAAGCCAAUGAGCGUUAGGAGGCGCCCGAGGUGAAGGUCGUGAAAUCGUCUUGAGCUAAUACAAGUUUCUAAAAGAAAAGGAUUCUUAUCACCGCAAGUCCAGUCCGCGUCCCCGUUGAAGAUCAGCCUCUAAUCAAUUCGCCACCCCUUGCUCGUGUGCGGCAUCUGCAUUCAGAGCUGGAAGCGGUCUGCUGAGUGAUGGCUCUCUCCCUUUUUUCUUCGGCUGGGGGAAAUGUCCUGACACCACGGUUUACAGUGCCUGGCUUUCAUUUCAGCCUCGUCACCGAAAAGAGCCCCAUGUGCUAGCAUAGCCUGGAGGAGUCAGCAUCCUGCCUCCCACCAGGAGCGAAGCAGCCCCGGCUCCUUGUCCACCUCCCCAGGAAGACUGCUUGCCAUUGCCCCCUUGAGGCCGCAAGGAAAUAAUGCGAAGCUCAGGGGGCUCCUUCCAGGUGCCCCAGAGUCCAGUGAAGGUGUGCGCAGGCAGGAGCGAUGCUUGAGCUGCUUGAAACACAGCAGCAGAGGGUGCCUGGCUGGUUGGACACGGGGAAAGGAUUCCCAGCCACUCUGGGCGAGCAGUGUGCUGGAUCUCCUCUCAGAAGAGUUUGAAGUCAGUGUGCAUCUCUAUACUCCGGGCCUGCCAGGGACGGGCCUUAAGACUCCUGAGAUGCCCUCGGGGGGCAUCUUUCCUAUGGUCCCUGGUGUAAAGCACCUGGCUUCCUUUUAACACUAGCAACUGCAUCUUCACCCUCCCAGCCUGUAAUUUUACAUAUGCUUCUUUUCUGACUGUAAGAUUCCCAGCAUUUUCUGCUCUGCUCCUCUUUGCUCCUGGUUCUCAGGUAAAUUUGGCUACACCCUGCCUACAAUGCCCGUGCUGCUGUCUGAGUGCUGCGCCACCUUGAAAUUUCUCCUGCCAGAGAAGCUAGCCCUUCAUCUUUAAACUCAGCCUCACACAAAGUCUCAGGGCAAGGACAAAAAAGGAGUCAACUUUUUUGCUACAGCAACAAGGAUGGCCUCUUGUUCGAUUUCCGUCUGAGUCCUUGUCUCCAUCUGAACUUUGUCAAUCUGGCCUUUACUGUGCACAAAUUCCUACCAGCCUUCUGGUCUUGUGAGCACCCACCAGAACCACUGGCGAAGCCCUCCUGACAGCAGUCGAGGUGUGCUCCAGCCCGCCUUUCCAAAUAUUUCCAUGUGCCUCCUGAAACCCGUCCAGAAGGUUUUUCCACAUCGUCAGGCGUUCACACCAGUCACUCACUCCUCCAUCCCAGGGUCCCGUCAGUCAGCUUCCCGUGACUGUAACCGCCCCCAGACAGUCAGCUGGCAAAGAGAAGAGGGCUUUCUGGCUCCCAUUUUGGAGGUGACAGUCCAGUCUUGACUGGUGGGCCCAGGCAAGGCAGCACCUCGUGGCUGCGCUGCACGCAGAAGGUCUUCACCUCCGGGCCAGGACGCGAGAGAGAGGAGAGGCCUGCAGCCCAGGAGCCCCGCUGCCCACCCUUCCUACCCAUUGUUUUUUAACUGGGCAUCACACACAGGCACGACGUGGACGGCAGCGUGGCGUGGUCACGCCUGCCCGCAGUGUGGCCGGGCCACCCGCUGCACAGGUCCUCUCCUCUCCUGCCGCCCCCGCCAUCCCCUUCUCCUAUGCCACUGACCGCUGUCCGUCUUUUCCCCUUACUUCACGCUAGCCUCCACAGAUGAGAGGAAGCUUUGGUCCCUUGGCGUCCUGAGACUGUGUCACUUAGAUGAUCAUCUCCAGGUCCAUCCGUUGCCUGGCAAAUGCCGGAAUUUCAUUCUCCGCGGCUGAGUGGAACUCCAUCAUGCGUGAUUCUCCUUUUCCACUCACCCGUCCACAGGCACCUGGGCUGGCUCCAUAUCUUGGCUACUGUGAAUUGUGCUGCUACUAAACAGUGAAGCGUGGGA
Sciurus carolinensis (gray squirrel) is the source of this 2106-nucleotide long non-coding RNA. RefSeq lists it as uncharacterized. The transcript is spliced from 2 exons. NCBI's taxonomy places the organism in Eukaryota, Metazoa, Chordata, Mammalia, Rodentia, Sciuridae. The record is from RefSeq and is a predicted model, not a curated record.